Molecule: ribosomal RNA, 975 nt
Filed under: human gut metagenome
Description: bacterial LSU rRNA
Rfam family: Bacterial large subunit ribosomal RNA
Source: RNAcentral
AAGGUAGCGAAAUUCCUUGUCGGGUAAGUUCCGACCUGCACGAAUGGCGUAACGACUUCCCCACUGUCUCGACCAGGAGCUCGGCGAAAUUGCAGUACGAGUAAAGAUGCUCGUUAAGCGCAGAAGGACGAAAAGACCCCGGGACCUUUACUAUACCUUGGUAUUGGCGUUAGGCGCGGAUUGUGUAGCAUAGGCGGGAGGCUUCGAAGCGGGUGCGCCAGCAUUCGUGGAGCCGCAAGGUGAAAUACCGCUCUGUUCUCGUUUGACGUCUAACCUCGACAAGUCAUCCUUGUCAGGGACAGUGCCUGGCGGGUAGUUCAACUGGGGCGGUUGCCUCCCAAAGAGUAACGGAGGCGCUCAAAGGUCCGCUCAGCCCGGUUGGCAAUCGGGUGUCGAGUGUAAUCGCACAAGCGGGCUUGACUGCGAGGACGACGGUCCGAGCAGGGACGAAAGUCGGAGAUAGUGAUCCGGUGCCGGCGCACGGGCGCGGCAUCGCUCAACGGAUAAAAGGUACCCCGGGGAUAACAGGCUGAUCAUUCCCAAGAGUCCAUAUCGACGGGAUGGUUUGGCACCUCGAUGUCGGCUCGUCGCAUCCUGGGGCUGGAGCAGGUCCCAAGGGUUCGGCUGUUCGCCGAUUAAAGCGGCACGCGAGCUGGGUUCAGAACGUCGUGAGACAGUUUGGUCUCUAUCCUCUGCGCUCGUUGGAAUCCUGAGGAGGCCUGCCCAUAGUACGAGAGGACCUGGGUGGACGAACCUCUGGUAUGCCGGUUGUCGCGCCAGCGGCACGGCCGGUUGGCUACGUUCGGGAGGGAUAACCGCUGAAAGCAUCUAAGCGGGAAGCCUGCUCCAAGAUUAGGAUUCCAUGGAUCUUCGAGAUCCUGUAGCCCGCAUGUUGAACACGUGUUUGAUAGGCCGGAGGUGGAAGCCCCGUGAGGGGUGGAGCCGACCGGUACUAACGGGCGAUGGCGACAUAAC